AGUAACACGUGGAUAACCUACCUAUAAGACUGGGAUAACUUCGGGAAACCGGAGCUAAUACCGGAUAAUAUUUUGAACCGCAUGGUUCAAAAGUGAAAGACGGUCUUGCUGUCACUUAUAGAUGGAUCCGCGCUGCAUUAGCUAAUUGGUAAGGUAACGGCUUACCAAGGCAACGAUGCAUAGCCGACCUGAGAGGGUGAUCGGCCACACUGGAACUGAGACACGGUCCAGACUCCUACGGGAGGCAGCAGCA
Molecule: ribosomal RNA, 253 nt
Filed under: uncultured Staphylococcus sp.
Lineage: Bacteria; Bacillati; Bacillota; Bacilli; Caryophanales; Staphylococcaceae
Description: partial 16S ribosomal RNA
Rfam family: Bacterial small subunit ribosomal RNA
Source: RNAcentral